CGGGACGUAGCGCAGCUUGGUAGCGCACAAGGCUGGGGGUCUUGUGGUCGCAGGUUCAAAUCCUGUCGUCCCGACCA
Molecule: transfer RNA, 77 nt
Filed under: Actinomycetota bacterium
Lineage: Bacteria; Bacillati; Actinomycetota
Description: Actinobacteria bacterium tRNA-Pro
Rfam family: tRNA
About the family: Transfer RNA (tRNA) molecules are approximately 80 nucleotides in length. Their secondary structure includes four short double-helical elements and three loops (D, anti-codon, and T loops).
Source: RNAcentral